CGGGAUCCAGGGGAAUGUGACUGGGAAAACUCUUGGACUUGCAUCACGAUGGUGCCAUUUCACACCAGGGUUUGCUGACGGGCUGCAGUGGUGUUCACUUGCCCUGUGGGACAAGCACCCAUGUGACAGGGAGGGGU
Molecule: long non-coding RNA, 137 nt
Organism: Cebus imitator (Panamanian white-faced capuchin)
Lineage: Eukaryota; Metazoa; Chordata; Mammalia; Primates; Cebidae
Exons: 4
Source: RefSeq, a predicted model, not a curated record